AGUAAUGUAUGGGGAUCUGCCCGAUAGAGGGGGGUAACUACUGGAAACGGUGGCUAAUACCGCAUAAUGUCUACGGACCAAAGCAGGGGCUCUUCGGACCUUGCACUAUCGGAUGAACCCGUAUGGGAUUAGCUAGUAGGUGGGGUAAAGGCUCACCUAGGCGACGAUCUCUAGCUGGUCUGAGAGGAUGAUCAGCCACACUGGGACUGAGACACGGCCCAG
RNAcentral lists this ribosomal RNA (222 nucleotides) under uncultured bacterium. Its description in RNAcentral is "partial 16S ribosomal RNA". It matches the Rfam family "Bacterial small subunit ribosomal RNA", at positions 109 to 334 of the family's 1533-position model. The record is from RNAcentral.